This is a small nuclear RNA of 170 nucleotides. Its record names the gene U2. It matches the Rfam family "U2 spliceosomal RNA". Rfam says of the family: U2 is a small nuclear RNA (snRNA) component of the spliceosome (involved in pre-mRNA splicing). Complementary binding between U2 snRNA (in an area lying towards the 5' end but 3' to hairpin I) and the branchpoint sequence (BPS) of the intron results the bulging out of an unpaired adenosine, on the BPS, which initiates a nucleophilic attack at the intronic 5' splice site, thus starting the first of two transesterification reactions that mediate splicing. The record is from Ensembl.
CUCAUUUCUCCACCUUUUGGCUCAGAUCAAGUGUAGUAUCUGUUCUUAACAGUUUAACAUCUGAUACAUUCUCUAUCCAAGGACAGUAUAUUAGAAUCUGAAAAGGAGUGGAUAUAUGUAUAUGUAUAACUGUUUCACUUUGCUAUACAUGUGAAACUAACACAACUUUU